UACGUAGGUGGCGAGCGUUAUCCGGAAUUACUGGGUGUAAAGGGUGUGUAGGCGGGACUGCAAGUCAGAUGUGAAAAAGCAGGGCUCAACCCUGCCAGUGCAUUUGAAACUGUGGUUCUUGAGGGUCGGAGAGGUAAACGGAAUUCCCAGUGUAGCGGUGAAAUGCGUAGAUAUUGGGAGGAACACCAGUGGCGAAGGCGGUUUACUGGACGACAACUGACGCUGAGACACGAAAGCGUGGGGAGCAAAC
This 250-nucleotide ribosomal RNA is filed under the name uncultured prokaryote. RNAcentral describes it as "partial 16S ribosomal RNA". It matches the Rfam family "Bacterial small subunit ribosomal RNA", at positions 524 to 773 of the family's 1533-position model. The record is from RNAcentral.